This 468-nucleotide ribosomal RNA is filed under the name uncultured bacterium. RNAcentral's name for it is "bacterial SSU rRNA". It matches the Rfam family "Bacterial small subunit ribosomal RNA", at positions 329 to 792 of the family's 1533-position model. The record is from RNAcentral.
UUCCAGACUCCUACGGGAGGCAGCAGUGAGGAAUAUUGGUCAAUGGACGCAGGUCUGAACCAGCCAAGUCGCGUGCAGGAUGACGGCCCUCCGGGUUGUAAACUGCUUUUAGUUGGGAAUAAAAGGGGGCUCGUGAGCCCCGUAUUGUAUGUACCAUCAGAAAAAGGACCGGCUAAUUCCGUGCCAGCAGCCGCGGUAAUACGGAAGGUCCGGGCGUUAUCCGGAUUUAUUGGGUUUAAAGGGAGCGUAGGCCGGUCUUUAAGCGUGCCGUGAAAUUUUGUGGCUCAACCAUGAGAGUGCGGCGCGAACUGGAGACCUUGAGUGCGCGGAAGGCAGGCGGAAUUCGUGGUGUAGCGGUGAAAUGCUUAGAUAUCACGAAGAACCCCGAUUGCGAAGGCAGCCUGCCGCAGCGUUACUGACGCUGAAGCUCGAAAGCGCGGGUAUCGAACAGGAUUAGAUACCCUUGUA